This 345-nucleotide transfer-messenger RNA is filed under the name Lachnospiraceae. RNAcentral's name for it is "CAG-590 sp015057325 Standard tmRNA". It matches the Rfam family "transfer-messenger RNA". Rfam says of the family: Bacterial tmRNA, also known as 10Sa RNA or SsrA, is named for its dual tRNA and mRNA-like properties. Its role is to liberate the mRNA from a stalled ribosome. The record is from RNAcentral. RNAcentral also lists the same sequence under 1 other name. Lineage: Bacteria; Bacillati; Bacillota; Clostridia; Lachnospirales.
GGGGUUGUACUGGUUUCGACGGGGAUUUAGAAAUCAUGGAAGCCAUUGAUGGUCCGGGACCAUCUAAAAACUCGGAAUUAAAUAUAAACGCAGACAAUAAGUUAGCGUACGCUGCCUAAUGGCAGCUGUCUUACCUAAGUUAGCUCGUGGCUUGGGAUAAGGCAUCAAAACAGCGGGGCACUUUGGUGUGAAAGCUUUGACACAUCAAAAGAAUUAUGAAGCUACCAAGACUGAUAGCCUGUCGGUUGGCAAUUGGUUGAGGGAAUGUUUAUAAAUCGACUGUAAUGGGAGAUGCCAUGAUGGAAGAGUUUUCGGACGCGGGUUCGAUUCCCGCCAGCUCCAUUU